UCAAGCAACUAAGCGCAUACGGUGGAUGCCUUGGCAGUCAGAGGCGAUGAAAGACGUGGAAGCCUGCGAUAAGGCUCGGGGAGCUGGCAAACAAGCUGUGAUCCGGGCAUUUCUGAAUGGGGAAACCCACCGACUUUCGGGUCGGUACCUUACACUGAAUCCAUAGGUGUAAGGGGCGAACCGGGGGAACUGAAACAUCUAAGUACCCCGAGGAAAAGAAAUCAACCGAGAUUCCCUAAGUAGCGGCGAGCGAACGGGGACUAGCCCUUAAGCUAGACAACUGGUAGGAGAAGGCUCUGGAAAGUGCCGCCAUAGUGGGUGAUAGCCCCGUAUCCGAAACCUGAGUCUGGUGAAAUCGAGUAGGACGGGACACGUGAUAUCCUGUCUGAACAUGGGGGGACCAUCCUCCAAGGCUAAAUACUCCUGACUGACCGAUAGUGAACCAGUACCGUGAGGGAAAGGCGAAAAGAACCCCUGUGAGGGGAGUGAAAUAGAUCCUGAAACCGUAUGCGUACAAGCAGUCGGAGCGGACUUGUUCCGUGACGGCGUACCUUUUGUAUAAUGGGUCAGCGACUUAUGUUCAGUGGCGAGGUUAACCGUUUAGGGGAGCCGUAGGGAAACCGAGUCUGAAUAGGGCGAUUUAGUCGCUGGGCAUAGACCCGAAACCGGGCGAUCUAUCCAUGAGCAGGUUGAAGGUGCCGUAACAGGCACUGGAGGACCGAACCCACUGUCGUUGAAAAGCCAGGGGAUGACUUGUGGAUCGGAGUGAAAGGCUAAUCAAGCCCGGAGAUAGCUGGUUCUCCCCGAAAGCUAUUUAGGUAGCGCCUCGGACGAAUACCACAGGGGGUAGAGCACUGUUUCGGCUAGGGGGUCAUCCCGACUUACCAACCCGAUGCAAACUCCGAAUACCUGUGAGUACUAUCCGGGAGACACACGGCGGGUGCUAACGUCCGUCGUGAAGAGGGAAACAACCCAGACCGCCAGCUAAGGUCCCCAAGUACCAGUUAAGUGGGAAACGAUGUGGGAAGGCUCAGACAGCUAGGAGGUUGGCUUAGAAGCAGCCAUCCUUUAAAGAAAGCGUAAUAGCUCACUAGUCGAGUCGGCCUGCGCGGAAGAUGUAACGGGGCUCAAACUGGUCACCGAAGCUGCGGCUGCAUACUUUGUAUGCGGGGUAGGGGAGCGUUCUGUAAGCCUGCGAAGGUGUGUUGAGAAGCAUGCUGGAGGUAUCAGAAGUGCGAAUGCUGACAUGAGUAACGACAAUGCGGGUGAAAAACCCGCACGCCGGAAGACCAAGGGUUCCUGCGCAACGCUAAUCGGCGCAGGGUGAGUCGGCCCCUAUGGCGAGACCGAAAG
This 1353-nucleotide ribosomal RNA is filed under the name Palpitomonas bilix. RNAcentral's name for it is "partial Bacterial large subunit ribosomal RNA". It matches the Rfam family "Bacterial large subunit ribosomal RNA", at positions 3 to 1408 of the family's 2925-position model. The record is from RNAcentral.